Molecule: long non-coding RNA, 2619 nt
Organism: Oncorhynchus tshawytscha (Chinook salmon)
Lineage: Eukaryota; Metazoa; Chordata; Actinopteri; Salmoniformes; Salmonidae
Source: Ensembl
CACCUGCCUCUGAUUGAGAACCACUCUAGGCAACCAUAGACGUACCUAGAACACUCAACUGAACACAACCCCAUCAAUCUAUAAAAACCCCUAGACAAGGAAACACAUAAUCACCCAUGUCACACCCUGGCCUGACCAAAAUAAUAAAGAGAACACAGAAUACUAAGGCCAGGGUGUGACACAUGAAUACAUUGCUCAGAACCAACCAGAAAACACAGAAUACUAAGGCCAGGGUGUGACACAUGAAUACAUUGCUCAGAACCAACCAGAAAACACAGAAUACUAAGGCCAGGGUGUGACACAUGAAUACAUUGCUCAGAACCAACCAGAAAAGUACUCCCUGAUAGGGAACUUACGGCUUCACGACACGGUGCUCCAUGGACAUGGUAUGAAGCCAUUAUAUAUAUAUUAUUAUUUAGACAUAUUUCAUUAUUUAUACAUUUUUAGGCUUGAACAUGUUAAAACAAGGACAAAUAAUGUUUUUUCAGGCUCCAGCGCUACAGGCCAGGCAGAAUCGGUCAUUCUUGAUGACAAAAGACAACCUCCUUCGGUUUCAACAGCCCUCGUUAAAAAAGCAGAGACUCCUCUCUGGUGUAUAACGGCACAGAAGACCACACACAGAGAGCAGAGUAUUUCACCAAUAAAACAACGAAACCGGAUGAUUUCAACGUUUUAUAUGACAUUUCCGAGGUAGACGAUUUGAUGUGAUGUGAAGCGGCCAACCUUCUUGAUUCUGAUUCUGUGGAGGCAACAGACGGUUCUGAAAUAGAACAGGCCUUUUCAAAGGGUUGAAAAUCCAGAAGUGUUUUGCUCCACAGACGGAUGUUUUACUGGAGCGUCAAAACCGCCAGGAUAUAUCAUUCUGUCGGAGAGCGAUUCCACGUAGGUUAAACAACAAUCAGAUUAAACAGCGCAAAUACAGGCGUUAAAAGCAUAUAUGUAACACGGAUCCUUCCAGAAUAACACAACACAUCCUUAAUAAUCCAAAUGGCGGAUCCAAUAGACCUAGGAGACAGUUGAAAACCUCUUAUCUCAGAUACCGCCAGAACUCCAAGCCAUAUGAUGCGGGGGUAACAGACAUAAUGGCGAUAGAUGAAAACCUCUUAUCCCAGAUACCGCCAGAACUCCAAGCCAUAUGAUGCGGGGGUAACAGACAUAAUGGCGAUAGAUGAAAACAUAUUAUCACAGAUUCCCCAAACUCAUAGAAAUGAUUAAUCGUAUGAAUGAGUCAGGGCUGUCCGAUGAAAACCUGUUAUCACAGAUUCCCGAAGCCCUCAUAUUACCCAGAUGAACGAGAGCCAAAGGUCUAAUGCUGCAACACCUCUAAGCCAUGUCUGAAUAGUCUGAAAUGCAAUAUGAUGUUUUUGAGCAGUUGGAAAAUUGUCUAACAAAUCAGGAGGAGUACAGUCUUGAUAGAAGUGUACGUGUUGUGUACCGAAAUCAAUUCAACAAUACAGAGAUUCAACAGUUUUUCAAUUUCGCAUGGGUGAAUCAGAAUAUUGACUGUGCUGUGAUGAUUUUGGACACUUUGAACGAACUGUUAGACAGGGCUAGAGAUUAUGGCGAACCACAUGAUGUCUUACAGUUGGAAAUUUGUGGAGACAUGCAUAGCACGGUAUCUCUUAUUGUGGAGACAUGCAUAGCACGGUAUCUCUUAUUUUACCCAAUGAUGAAGCAGAUCUGGAACAAUUUAUGGCCCUUGACUUGUUCAGUCAAAUGUUUCCGUCAGAGCCGAUAGGAACCUCGAGCUUGUAGUGCAAAUAAUACGUGGUGGUGGUCAGAGAAGGAAACUCCAUAGCACUCGCUCUAAGGCGUGAGGAAAAGGAUGCCCAUAUAAGGGCAUAACCGCAUGAUCCCUUCCCACCAGGAACGGGAUGUUAGUUAUUACUGUAUAGUCGGAACUAGAAGCACAAGCAUUUCGCUACACUCACAUUAACAUCUGCUAACCAUGUGUAUGUGACAAAUACAAUUUAAUUUGAUUUGUCCUGACCGUAUGCCCAAAUAUGGGCACGCACACGUCAUCAUGACAUAGGACCAUAAAUCAAACGUUUGACGUGCCUCGUCUACUUUAUUCUCUCUCACAUAAAAUAAACAGCUUUUGCUUUGUAAUUAUGGGGUAUUGUGUGUAGAUUGAUGAGGGAAAAAAACUUAAUCUAUUUUAGAAUAAGGCUGUAACGUGACAUGACAAAAUGUGGAAAAAGUCAAGGGGUCUGAAUACUUUCUGAAUGCCAUGUAUAUCAGUAUAUUAGAGAGCAGAGAGAACAGAGAGCAGAAAGAGCAGAGAGAGCAAGCAGAGAGAGAGACCAGAGCGAACAGAGACAGCAGAGAGAGAGAAGAGAGUGAACAGAGAGAGCAGAGAGACCAGAGAGUGAACUGAGAGAGCAGAGCGAGAGAGCGAGCAGAGCGAGAGAGUGAGAGAGCGAGCAGAGCGAGAGAGUGUGCAGAGCGAGAGAGUGAGCAGAGAGAAAACAGAGAUCAGAGAGAGAGAGCAGAGAGAGCAUAGAGAGAGCAGAGAGAGAGCAGAGAGAGAGUAGAGAGAGAGCAGAGAGAGAGCAGAGAGAGAGCAGAGAGAGAGAGAGAGCAGAGAGAGAGUAGAGAGAGAGAGUAGAGAGACAGAUA